Non-coding RNA from Kogia breviceps (pygmy sperm whale), 440 nucleotides. The record is from RefSeq and is a predicted model, not a curated record. NCBI's taxonomy places the organism in Eukaryota, Metazoa, Chordata, Mammalia, Artiodactyla, Physeteridae.
GCCUCUGUCUGAAGUGUAAGGCGGACUCUGAACUAGGAGGGACGCAGAGCAGAGGGAAGCAGCCUUCCCGUAUCUCCUACAGACAGCUCUUCUUCCAGAGCCUAGGACAGAGGGCAGACCGGAGCUCGUUUGGAUCCCUUAGGACACAAGUCUUCCCCAACCACAGGACCCCCACCAAAGUGGCCUUCUCUGGAAAUUCCCCUCCCAGGCCUCAGUGCUGGGUAACUUGGUCUUCCCUCGCUCCUGCUCCAGCGCCUAUCACCCAGAAGGACACAGCAAGAAGGCAUCCAUCCGCAAGCCAGAGAGAGAGACUUCACGAGAACCCAGCCAUGCUGGCAAAGCUGAUCUUGGAUUUCCAGGCUCCAAAACUGUAAGAAAAUAAACUUCUGUUGCUUAAGCCACCCAGUCUGUGGUAUUUUGUUAUGGCAGUGUGAGCUACG